GGUUAAGCGACUAAGCGUACACGGUGGAUGCCCUGGCAGUCAGAGGCGAUGAAGGGCGUGCUAAUCUGCGAUAAGCGCCGGUAAGGUGAUAUGAACCGUUAUAACCGGCGAUACCCGAAUGGGGAAACCCAGUGUGAUUCGUCACACUAUCAUUAACUGAAUCCAUAGGUUAAUGAGGCGAACCGGGGGAACUGAAACAUCUAAGUACCCCGAGGAAAAGAAAUCAACCGAGAUUCCCCCAGUAGCGGCGAGCGAACGGGGAGGAGCCCAGAGCCUGAAUCAGCAUGUGUGUUAGUGGAAGCGUCUGGAAAGGUGCGCGAUACAGGGUGACAGCCCCGUACACAAAAGCGCAUGUGCUGUGAGCUCGAUGAGUAGGGCGGGACACGUGGUAUCCUGUCUGAAUAUGGGGGGACCAUCCUCCAAGGCUAAAUACUCCUGACUGACCGAUAGUGAACCAGUACCGUGAGGGAAAGGCGAAAAGAACCCCGGCGAGGGGAGUGAAAAAGAACCUGAAACCGUGUACGUACAAGCAGUGGGAGCCCCACCACCAAAGCAUUCUCUGGUGUUGAAGGCCCUGCAAAGCAGCAUCGCGGUGGCGGAGCGUCGUUUGCGACGCCCAACACACAAAACAAGCGGUGAAUGCUUUGGGGUGGGGUGACUGCGUACCUUUUGUAUAAUGGGUCAGCGACUUAUAUUCUGUAGCAAGGUUAACCGAAUAGGGGAGCCGGAGGGAAACCGAGUCUUAAUUGGGCGUUAAGUUGCAGGGUAUAGACCCGAAACCCGGUGAUCUAGCCAUGGGCAGGUUGAAGGUUGGGUAACACUAACUGGAGGACCGAACCGACUAAUGUUGAAAAAUUAGCGGAUGACCUGUGGCUGGGGGUGAAAGGCCAAUCAAACCGGGAGAUAGCUGGUUCUCCCCGAAAGCUAUUUAGGUAGCGCCUCGUGAAUUCAUCUCCGGGGGUAGAGCACUGUUUCGGCUAGGGGGCCAUCCCGGCUUACCAACCCGAUGCAAACUGCGAAUACCGGAGAAUGUUAUCACGGGAGACACACGGCGGGUGCUAACGUCCGUCGUGAAGAGGGAAACAACCCAGACCGCCAGCUAAGGUCCCAAAGUCAUGGUUAAGUGGGAAACGAUGUGGGAAGGCCCAGACAGCCAGGAUGUUGGCUUAGAAGCAGCCAUCAUUUAAAGAAAGCGUAAUAGCUCACUGGUCGAGUCGGCCUGCGCGGAAGAUGUAACGGGGCUAAACCAUGCACCGAAGCUGCGGCAGCGAACGUAUCACCCAAGACAACUUUACGGAGUUGACGAUUGACGGAGCGAAGCGACGUCAAAGCGUUCAUUAAAGUCGAGUUGGCUUAGGGAUACGUUCGUUGGGUAGGGGAGCGUUCUGUAAGCCUGUGAAGGUGUGUCGUGAGGCAUGCUGGAGGUAUCAGAAGUGCGAAUGCUGACAUAAGUAACGAUAAAGCGGGUGAAAAGCCCGCUCGCCGGAAGACCAAGGGUUCCUGUCCAACGUUAAUCGGGGCAGGGUGAGUCGACCCCUAAGGCGAGGCCGAAAGGCGUAGUCGAUGGGAAACGGGUUAAUAUUCCCGUACUUGGUGUUACUGCGAAGGGGGGACGGAGAAGGCUAUGUUGGCCGGGCGACGGUUGUCCCGGUUUAAGCGUGUAGGUGUGUGUUCCAGGUAAAUCCGGUUCACUUUAACACUGAGGCGUGACGACGAGGCACUACGGUGCUGAAGCAACAAAUGCCCUGCUUCCAGGAAAAGCCUCUAAGCAUCAGGUAACACGAAAUCGUACCCCAAACCGACACAGGUGGUCAGGUAGAGAAUACCAAGGCGCUUGAGAGAACUCGGGUGAAGGAACUAGGCAAAAUGGUGCCGUAACUUCGGGAGAAGGCACGCUGACACGUAGGUGAAGUGAUUUACUCAUGGAGCUGAAGUCAGUCGAAGAUACCAGCUGGCUGCAACUGUUUAUUAAAAACACAGCACUGUGCAAACACGAAAGUGGACGUAUACGGUGUGACGCCUGCCCGGUGCCGGAAGGUUAAUUGAUGGGGUCAGCGCAAGCGAAGCUCCUGAUCGAAGCCCCGGUAAACGGCGGCCGUAACUAUAACGGUCCUAAGGUAGCGAAAUUCCUUGUCGGGUAAGUUCCGACCUGCACGAAUGGCGUAAUGAUGGCCAGGCUGUCUCCACCCGAGACUCAGUGAAAUUGAACUCGCUGUGAAGAUGCAGUGUACCCGCGGCAAGACGGAAAGACCCCGUGAACCUUUACUAUAGCUUGACACUGAACAUUGAGCCUUGAUGUGUAGGAUAGGUGGGAGGCUUUGAAGUGUGGACGCCAGUCUGCAUGGAGCCGACCUUGAAAUACCACCCUUUAAUGUUUGAUGUUCUAACGUGGACCCGUAAUCCGGGUUGCGGACAGUGUCUGGUGGGUAGUUUGACUGGGGCGGUCUCCUCCUAAAGAGUAACGGAGGAGCACGAAGGUUGGCUAAUCCUGGUCGGACAUCAGGAGGUUAGUGCAAUGGCAUAAGCCAGCUUGACUGCGAGCGUGACGGCGCGAGCAGGUGCGAAAGCAGGUCAUAGUGAUCCGGUGGUUCUGAAUGGAAGGGCCAUCGCUCAACGGAUAAAAGGUACUCCGGGGAUAACAGGCUGAUACCGCCCAAGAGUUCAUAUCGACGGCGGUGUUUGGCACCUCGAUGUCGGCUCAUCACAUCCUGGGGCUGAAGUAGGUCCCAAGGGUAUGGCUGUUCGCCAUUUAAAGUGGUACGCGAGCUGGGUUUAGAACGUCGUGAGACAGUUCGGUCCCUAUCUGCCGUGGGCGCUGGAGAACUGAGGGGGGCUGCUCCUAGUACGAGAGGACCGGAGUGGACGCAUCACUGGUGUUCGGGUUGUCAUGCCAAUGGCACUGCCCGGUAGCUAAAUGCGGAAGAGAUAAGUGCUGAAAGCAUCUAAGCACGAAACUUGCCCCGAGAUGAGUUCUCCCUGAGACUUAGAGUCUCCUGAAGGAACGUUGAAGACGACGACGUUGAUAGGCCGGGUGUGUAAGCGCAGCGAUGCGUUGAGCUAACCGGUACUAAUGAACCGUGAGGCUUAACCUU
RNAcentral lists this ribosomal RNA (3092 nucleotides) under Salmonella enterica. Its description in RNAcentral is "23S ribosomal RNA". It matches the Rfam family "Bacterial large subunit ribosomal RNA". The record is from RNAcentral. RNAcentral also lists the same sequence under 1 other name. Lineage: Bacteria; Pseudomonadati; Pseudomonadota; Gammaproteobacteria; Enterobacterales; Enterobacteriaceae.